GAUCCUGGCUCAGGAUGAACGCUAGCGACAGGCCUAACACAUGCAAGUCGAGGGGCAGCGGAGAGGUAGCAAUACCUUUGCCGGCGACCGGCGCACGGGUGAGUAACACGUAUGCAAUCCACCUGUAACAGGGGGAUAACCCGGAGAAAUCCGGACUAAUACCCCAUAAUAUGGGCGCUCCGCAUGGAGAGUCCAUUAAAGAGAGCAAUCUUGGUUACAGACGAGCAUGCGCUUCA
RNAcentral lists this ribosomal RNA (236 nucleotides) under uncultured bacterium. RNAcentral describes it as "partial 16S ribosomal RNA". It matches the Rfam family "Bacterial small subunit ribosomal RNA", at positions 15 to 240 of the family's 1533-position model. The record is from RNAcentral.